This 217-nucleotide unclassified non-coding RNA is filed under the name plant metagenome. Its description in RNAcentral is "partial contains small subunit ribosomal RNA and internal transcribed spacer 1". The stretch from base 1 to 46 matches the Rfam family "Eukaryotic small subunit ribosomal RNA", at positions 1786 to 1831 of the family's 1831-position model. The record is from RNAcentral.
AAGUCGUAACAAGGUUUCCGUAGGUGAACCUGCGGAAGGAUCAUUACCCAUUGCAGUUGACUCGCCCUUUUGGGUGGGUUGGAUUGCUCGGACCUCGUGUCUGAACCCUUGUCUAUACGUACCUUUUGUUGUUUCCUCGGCAGGACGCUGCCGACGGAACCCCCAUAAACCCUUUGCAUCAGUAUCCAAUUAUCCGAUAACAAAUAAAUUAUUACAA